GGAAAGAUGGCAGAGUGGUCGAAUGCACCGGACUCGAAAUCCGGCAUACGUUUUUGACGUAUCCAGGGUUCAAAUCCCUGUCUUUCCGCCA
This 91-nucleotide transfer RNA is filed under the name Undibacterium sp. RNAcentral describes it as "tRNA-Ser". It matches the Rfam family "tRNA". Rfam says of the family: Transfer RNA (tRNA) molecules are approximately 80 nucleotides in length. Their secondary structure includes four short double-helical elements and three loops (D, anti-codon, and T loops). Lineage: Bacteria; Pseudomonadati; Pseudomonadota; Betaproteobacteria; Burkholderiales; Oxalobacteraceae. The record is from RNAcentral.